RNAcentral lists this ribosomal RNA (375 nucleotides) under uncultured bacterium. RNAcentral describes it as "bacterial SSU rRNA". It matches the Rfam family "Bacterial small subunit ribosomal RNA", at positions 524 to 898 of the family's 1533-position model. The record is from RNAcentral.
UACGAAGGGGGCUAGCGUUGUUCGGAAUCACUGGGCGUAAAGCGCGUGUAGGCGGAUCGUUAAGUCGGGGGUGAAAUCCUGAGGCUCAACCUCAGAACUGCCUUCGAUACUGGCGAUCUUUGAGUCCGGGAGAGGUGAGUGGAACUCCUAGUGUAGAGGUGAAAUUCGUAGAUAUUAGGAAGAACACCAGUGGCGAAGGCGGCUCACUGGCCCGGUACUGACGCUGAUAUGCGAAAGCGUGGGGAGCAAACAGGAUUAGAUACCCUGGUAGUCCACGCCGUAAACUAUGAAUGCUAGCCGUCGGACAGCUUGCUGUUCGGUGGCGCACCUAACGGAUUAAGCAUUCCGCCUGGGGAGUACGGUCGCAAGAUUAAA